Molecule: long non-coding RNA, 2021 nt
Filed under: Homo sapiens (human)
Lineage: Eukaryota; Metazoa; Chordata; Mammalia; Primates; Hominidae
Description: HSALNT0131885
Source: RNAcentral
CCAUGAGCAACCAUGUGGACAGAGCUGACUCACACCCUCCUAUGAUCACCCACAUGAGGCAGAGGUGACUCACAGCCUCCCCCGCUGGACAUGGCCUGAAGCUUGGCUCUGGGAGGAGAACAGGGGUGCCUGCGCCAUCCUCUGCUGUGUUUAAUGCCUGGGUGCUGCCCACACACUGGUGGUGCCCAGCCCCCGUGCCCCUGCUCCACCUCUGUGAGUGUGAAAGUGUCAGGAGUUGGCUGUUCCAGACCCAGUGAGGUGGUGAAGCUGACUCAGCUGCCAGAGGGAAGACAGGAGGCUACUCAGAGAGAGGUACAUUUCACAACUGCCCCCCUACCAGUCACCACCGCCCCACCUGCCCACAACACUGCAACGGAAGCCGUCUCUCAAGCAGGCCUCACUGAAGACCACGGUCCAUGCUGCUGAGGUCAUGAAUGUCCCCAGCGUGGCCACCUGGCACUGGCUUUUCCCCAUCUGGGGAAGCUGGAAAUGCCCAAAGCCCGGGUCUUGGAUUCUGCUUUUUCUACUCAGAUAAAGACACUUGGAUCUGGGUCUGAAGUGCAGGCUGUGUUCCCACUCAUCCCAUCACUGAGGUCCUUGUGACCCCAGGGUCAGCUGUGUUCCCACUCAUCCCAUCGCAGAGCAUCUGUGACCCCAGGUCAUGCUGCUUAUUCUUCCCAGGCUGCAUAUCAAGGUAUACAUAUCAAUGUAUACCAUCAGGAUGAAAUAUCUUCCUAGAAGAAGUGAUAGAGAAAUAAAUGAGGAGAUGAUUUGAAAAGCACUUUGAACUAAGAAUUCUGAGCCUCUGGGCUGUCACUCUGGGCAAACCACAAAAUAUCAAAGAGCCGGUCUGUCAUCAGCCACCAAUCCAGUUAGCAGACACGACCGAGAACCCUGGAUUCAGAAGCAGCCGCCAACCCAGUUAGCAGACACGACCAAGCACCCUGGAUUCAGAGGCAGCCACCAAUCCAGUUAGCAGACACGACCAAGCACCCUGGAUUCACAGGCAGCCACCAAUCCAGUUAGCAGACACGACCAAGCACCCUGGAUUCACAGCCAGCCACGAAUCCAGUUAGCAGACACAACCAAGCACCCUGGAUUCAGAGGCAGCCACCAAUCCAGUUAGCACACAUGACCGAGCACCCUGGAUUCACAGGCAGCCACGAAUCCAGUGAGCAGACACACCAAGCACCCUGGAUUCAGAGGCAGCCGGUUUUUCAGAACCAGCUCUGUUGUUCACUAGCCUCCUGGCCUUAAUUAAGUUUCUUAUUUCCUGAGCUUGUGUUUCCAGGUAAGAUUCUCAAGAGACAAAGAAGAAUAAUGCUCCCUAAAAGCUGCCGCACACAUGCCCUGUGUGUGCCCGUGACAUGUCCCAAGCCCUGAUGGGGAGUGGCUCAUUUUGUACCACACAGCUGUCAUCCCCACUUCACAGAGGAAGAAACUCAGGGGGCUGAAAUACUUGCCUGAGACAUGGAAGCAGUCAGUGGCAGAACUGGGAGAUAACCGAGAAACUGAGUGGAAUGCCGCCUAAUCAAAGGACCCCUAUGGAGAAGGUCCUCAUGAAAAGGCAGCAGAUGCUCCUUUUUUAUAGCAAAAAUGUUAAUUCUUUCUAUUUUGGCUGAACUUUUCACAUCCCAAUUCCUCUCUGGAGCUGCUGACACACAAGCCCCAGGUGGCAGGGCGAGCUCUCUCCGCCUGCUUAUGUUUUUUUCUUGCUUGUGACCCAGAAAAAUUGCCAAAGUCAAGGAACAUUCUGUAAUGAGAUUUUACUAUGAAAGAGGAGAUUUACUCCCAUGAGUCUCAGAUGGCACAACUUGUUUGUCAGCUAAGACCGCUGCUUUCCAGUCCUAAUUCUGUUCUGGUAGAUGUUUUAAGUAUUUCAUUUUUGUUUUGUUUCUAGUGAGAAUGUAAUGUGAUAUGAGGCUAACCUCAAGCUGCAGAUGUAGAGAAUCACCUGGAAUUAUCACAGGGUGUUGCCCUGCGAGGAUCUGGGCACGCCAGGUGAUGAGUGGCAUGUGCAC